AACGAACGCUGGCGGCGUGGUUUAGGCAUGCAAGUCGAGCGAGAAAGUCCUUCGGACGAGUACAGCGGCGAAAGGGUGAGUAAUAUAUAGGUAACCUACCUCUUGGACUCGGAUAAUUCCUGGAAACGGGUUGUAAUACGAGAUCGUCCUAUUGGGUCGCAUGGCCCGACUGGUAAAUGGUAGCUCUGCUUCUGCCGAGAGAGGGGCCUAUAUCCUAUUAGCUAGUUGGUGAGGUAAUGGCUCACCAAGGCUUUGAUGGGUAGCCGGACUGAGAGGUUGGCCGGUCACACUGGGACUGAGACACUGCCCAGACUCCUACGGGAGGCUGCAGUCGAGAAUCUUCCGCAAUGGGCGAAAGCCUGACGGGGCUACGCCGCGUGAACGAAGAAGGCCUCGGUUGUAAG
Molecule: ribosomal RNA, 404 nt
Filed under: uncultured bacterium
Lineage: Bacteria
Description: bacterial SSU rRNA
Rfam family: Bacterial small subunit ribosomal RNA
Source: RNAcentral